This 253-nucleotide ribosomal RNA is filed under the name uncultured bacterium. Its description in RNAcentral is "partial 16S ribosomal RNA". It matches the Rfam family "Bacterial small subunit ribosomal RNA", at positions 524 to 776 of the family's 1533-position model. The record is from RNAcentral.
UACAGAGGGUGCAAGCGUUGCUCGGAAUCAUUGGGCGUAAAGGGUAGGUAGGUGGUCUCAUUUGUCUGGGGUGAAAGCCCAGGGCUUAACCCUGGAAGUGCCCCGGAAACGGUGAGACUAGAGUAUUGGAGAGGGUCGUGGAAUUCCCGGUGUAGCGGUGAAAUGCGUAGAGAUCGGGAGGAACACCAGAGGCGAAGGCGGCGACCUGGACAAUUACUGACACUCAACUGCGAAAGCGUGGGGAGCAAACAGG